AUGGGAGAAGCUGUAGGGUCGAAUGCUGCUCUGCCAGAGAUGCUCAGGAAAGGCUGUGGCCAAGGAGCUCCAGCAGUUUCUGUAGAGGGCCGGCCCUCUCCACUCAAUUUCCUCUCCUUGCUCCCCGCUUGUGCCCACUGCUGCCUUGUAAGGUUUUUGGAGGAAGUGUCCCAGAUGUCAAUGGUGUGGUGCAGUUCUGGAAACACAGAAAACCCGGCAGGAACCACAGACCAAGUGAACAGACCUGAAUCAGGAUCCUGGCUGCGUUUUGGCUCCAGAUUGCUACCUGGCCAAGCCUGGCUGCUGGAGGAGCAAAGCUCGCAAGUCCUCAGGCUGAGAAUGAAAGGAGCAGGAAGAACUGGCUGCACUCAUGAUUCCAGUGGCAGGGCUCCUGCUCUGGAGCAGACCAGCAGCAGUCUGACCAUCUAUGGACAAGAGGUUGCUUCUACCAGUGCCCUGCGUUGGGAUCUGAGUCUCUUGAAAUGCCUGGGAUCCUACGUCCCACAGCUGGCCUGCAUCAUCACUGUUCAUAUCAGGCAUGCGCUCACCGCUCAGGAUCACUGUCCUGUCAUCUCAUCCUCAGACCCCAGCGUUAUCAGUUGUUAAUCAAUUCGGAGCACAGGAAGAAUGGAAACAUGAAUGAGACCAUCAGUCAAGUCAGCUAAAACCCAUGGACUGAGUCUAAAGGAAAUAUGCAAAAGCAAACUAAUGUGGCUUUGGAGCAUUCAAAGGACCUUUGGCAAACAUUGGCACACCUCAUCUCCAGGGUCAGGAGGGGCUAAGCCGGUGUACUGGCCAUUAUCAUCUGCUUCGACCAGCCAAGAGCAUCAAAUUGAGUUCUAAGACUCCAGAACACUAGCUCUGAAUCUGCUGGGAGCUUGUUUAGUUCUGCCAAAGGUGAGCUUCUCUUUGAGGGGAAGAACAUGACUCCCCCGGCCUACUCCGACCAUAACCCCUUCUGCUUAGUUUCUUAGUUUCAGCACUACUCCCUGCAGUCAGAUUUAGCUUGCCCUUUGCCUUCUCCUGCUGGGGACAUGAGGCAGCAUGUCUCAGCCCCACGAUGCCACAAGCUCCCUUUGGUCCACUUCCAGGUUUGGGUGAAUGGCUGAGGGAGCAUCCUGGGGCUUUCCCACCAUGAGAAACACCUGCACUACCUAUUAUACUGCCCAGCAUAAGGAGCCAUAGGCUCCGAGCAGCCUUACAGAGCCACUACAUGCGCUGCACUGGCCAGUGCAUCUUGGGGACACCUCUG
RNAcentral lists this long non-coding RNA (1252 nucleotides) under Struthio camelus australis. RNAcentral describes it as "lncRNA (ENSSCUG00000014161.1)". The record is from RNAcentral. Lineage: Eukaryota; Metazoa; Chordata; Aves; Struthioniformes; Struthionidae.